GUCAUGUUCCCCAUGUUCCAGGAGCUUGCACCACAUGACCCACACGACAAGUGUGGUCACCACUAUGCGAUCUGUCUUGACCUGAAGAACCAACGUUUUGAGGUACUUGAUUCAAUCCGUUCGGAAGCUGAUGCAGACCUUACUACGCAUGCCGAAUUCUUCAUUAACAACCUCAAAGAGACAUGGAACCGUCACUACAAACAUUCAAAGGUCCAGAUCAGGCAUUUCCCGACUGAGUAUGUGGCGACUGCAAAGCAAGGGAACACGACGGACUGUGGCUUUCACACGCUGGAAUACUUUGCAAAGUGGGAAGGCAGAAUUGUCCCCCCUAUCACAGCUGCAACGGUCGUUGAGCUCCAGAAAAUCUACACAUGGAACUGGUUGACGAAUGAAGAUUUCAACAAGCGGUCCGGAGCACGCGAGUUCGUGGAGGAAGCUGUCAAG
RNAcentral lists this ribosomal RNA (444 nucleotides) under Triticum aestivum (bread wheat). Its description in RNAcentral is "partial small subunit ribosomal RNA". Lineage: Eukaryota; Viridiplantae; Streptophyta; Magnoliopsida; Poales; Poaceae. The record is from RNAcentral.